Molecule: ribosomal RNA, 669 nt
Filed under: uncultured fungus
Lineage: Eukaryota; Fungi
Description: SSU rRNA
Rfam family: Eukaryotic small subunit ribosomal RNA
Source: RNAcentral
GAUAAAAAACCAAUGCCCUUGCGGGCUGCUUGGUGAUUCAUGAUAACUUAACGAAUCGCAAGGCCUUUGCGCCGGCGAUGGUUCAUUCAAAUUUCUGCCCUAUCAACUUUCGAUGGUAGGAUAGUGGCCUACCAUGGUAUCAACGGGUAACGGGGAAUUAGGGUUCUAUUCCGGAGAGGGAGCCUGAGAAACGGCUACCACAUCCAAGGAAGGCAGCAGGCGCGCAAAUUACCCAAUCCCGACACGGGGAGGUAGUGACAAUAAAUACUGAUACAGGGCUCUUUAGGGUCUUGUAAUUGGAAUGAGUACAAUUUAAAUCCCUUAACGAGGAACAAUUGGAGGACAAGUCUGGUGCCAGCAGCCGCGGUAAUUCCAGCUCCAAUAGCGUAUAUUAAAGUUGUUGCAGUUAAAAAGCUCGUAGUUGAACCUUGGGCCUGGCUGGUUGGUCCGCCUUACCGCGAGUACUAUCUGGCCGGGCCUUUCCUUCUGGGGAGCCGCAUGUCCUUUACUGGGUGUGCUGGGGAACCAGGACUUUUACUUUGAAAAAAUUAGAGUGUUCAAAGCAGGCCUAUGCUCGGAUACAUUAGCAUGGAAUAAUGAAAUAGGACGGAGGUUUUAUUUUGUUGGUUUCUAGGACCGCCGUAAUGAUAAUAGGGAUAGUCGAGCAUC